Molecule: long non-coding RNA, 938 nt
Filed under: Nicotiana tabacum (common tobacco)
Lineage: Eukaryota; Viridiplantae; Streptophyta; Magnoliopsida; Solanales; Solanaceae
Description: long non-coding RNA (NTAB_LNC002091)
Source: RNAcentral
AAGAGUAAAAAGUGGUGAGAAUCUCAAUAGGAAAAAUAUAAAGCCAAUAUAAGCAAUCUUCCUUCACACAAUUAUCACAACUAAAGUUGGACAUAAGUAAUAGAAGCUCACCACUUAUGUUUAUCCGAUUUUUACCUGUUAAUCUCCAAUGUAUUUGAUUUCAAGAAAAAGGGACAGAGUAACAUUAGUUGAUGCAACUCAAAGACUGAUCAAGAAAAGAAGGAAAAACUAAUAGGGGAGACAUAUACUACAACCAUCCGAAAAAUUGUUGAAUACGUGAAAAAUCAAACAAAACAACCAGCAUUAAAAUGGUAUAGAUACUGAACCAAGCUACAAUCUGCAACAAAACAACAAAUGAAAAAACCAAAAACUAAAAAUCAAAAAGAGAUUAUAUUUCCAGAAUAAUAUACAACCAAGCUAACACAUGCAGCACAAAGAGCAACUUGUUGAAAAUAAGGGAAAAUCAUAACCUGAAAUUUUUAUGUGAAACAGGAUUUGAACACCUGCAGCGCAAAAAAUUUAUUUAAAUUAAAUGCGGUAUAAAUUCACUGACUCCCUGCUAAUUAGUAGGGAGGAAACAGAAAGUUCACAAGAAAAUUUCAAAAGAAACCAAAAAAGAAGAGGACUAAGCAGAGAAGCAGAAGAUUGAAAACAAAACCUGAGCGGAAACAGAAGUACAGAAAAGAAGAAAACUCAGAAGAAGAAAGAACGGCAGCGAGAGAAAGCAAAUAAUAGACGCAUGCAUGUAGGAAAGAACAUCAGAACUAUCGAAAAACAGAGAUCAGUUACCAGAAUUUCCUCUGAUCUUCAGUAAUGUGUUGAAUCCUAUGAAAUAUGUACAUGGAUCUUUAAUUCUCUUAAAGAAAGGAUAAUCAGCAGGGUCAAUUUGGACUCCAAUUCGAAAAUUUGAAAGAAAACCCUAUGGAGGCACGAAAAAG